UAUGGCCACCCUGAACGCUCCUGAUCUUGUCUGAUCUCGGAAGCUAAGCAGAAUCAGGCCUGGUUAGUACUUGGAUGGGAGAAAAUGACUCUCUGUGGUGGGGAAUGGCCCCAAAC
This 116-nucleotide ribosomal RNA is filed under the name Fukomys damarensis (Damara mole-rat). The record is from RNAcentral. Lineage: Eukaryota; Metazoa; Chordata; Mammalia; Rodentia; Bathyergidae.